RNAcentral lists this ribosomal RNA (250 nucleotides) under uncultured bacterium. RNAcentral describes it as "partial 16S ribosomal RNA". It matches the Rfam family "Bacterial small subunit ribosomal RNA", at positions 524 to 773 of the family's 1533-position model. The record is from RNAcentral.
UACGAAGGGUGCAAGCGUUGUUCGGAUUUAUUGGGCGUAAAGCGCGCGCAGGCGGAUCUGCAAGUCAUGUGUGAAAUCUCGGAGCUUAACUCCGAAAGUGCGCCUGAAACUACAGAUCUAGAAUGCCGGAGAGGGAAGGGGAAUUUCUCAUGUAGGGGUAAAAUCCGUAGAUAUGAGAAGGAACACCAGAGGCGAAGGCGCCUUCCUGGACGGCUAUUGACGCUGAGGCGCGAAAGCGUGGGGAGCAAAC